Molecule: ribosomal RNA, 433 nt
Filed under: uncultured bacterium
Lineage: Bacteria
Description: partial 16S ribosomal RNA
Rfam family: Bacterial small subunit ribosomal RNA
Source: RNAcentral
AACGAACGCUGGCGGCAUGCCUAACACAUGCAAGUCGAACGAGACCUUCGGGUCUAGUGGCGCACGGGUGCGUAACGCGUGGGAACCUGCCCUUAGGUUCGGAAUAACUCCCCGAAAGGGGUGCUAAUACCGGAUAAUGUCUUCGGACCAAAGAUUUAUCGCCUUUGGAUGGGCCCGCGUUGGAUUAGCUAGUUGGUAGGGUAAAAGCCUACCAAGGCGACGAUCCAUAGCUGGUCUGAGAGGAUGAUCAGCCACACUGGGACUGAGACACGGCCCAGACUCCUACGGGAGGCAGCAGUGGGGAAUAUUGGACAAUGGGCGGAAGCCUGAUCCAGCAAUGCCGCGUGAGUGAUGAAGGCCUUAGGGUUGUAAAGCUCUUUUACCCGGGAUGAUAAUGACAGUACCGGGAGAAUAAGCGCCGGCUAACUCCGUG